Non-coding RNA from Arachis ipaensis, 641 nucleotides. The record is from RefSeq and is a predicted model, not a curated record. Lineage: Eukaryota; Viridiplantae; Streptophyta; Magnoliopsida; Fabales; Fabaceae.
AACGUUUCUACUGUUUCAAGGAAUUGUAAAAAUGGUAGAAACAAAGGAGAAAAUGAAACAAAUGAAGAAAAAAGAAAAAAAAAACAAAAAACCAAAAAAACAAAAAAAAGGAAGGCAAGUUCAUCAUCAUCUGAGAGUGAAACAACUGAAAGUGAAGUCUAUUCUACCUCUGAGUCUGAGACUGAAAAAGACUCAGAAGAACCAACAAGAAAACAACCCACCCAAACAGCCAAAAAAAUGGAAUCCAAAAAAAGGAAGAAGAUUCAGGAGGAUUAUGAUUCAGAAUCUGAAUCAAAUGAUGAGUAAUGUUUUGAAAUUAUUAUUGCUUUCCUUUGGGUUUAUUAUCAAAAUUUCAUGUAUUAACAGAGCGUCUCUUAUUAACUUUUAGAAGCGAAGAAUCAUCACCAGUAGAGAAGCAAAAAACAAAGAAAAAGACUUAGAGAACACCACAAAAGACACAAUCUAAAAAGAAAAAGGUCAUUGUUGAGGAUUCAUCUCCUGAGCAAGCUCAAUCCUAUCAUGGGUACAGUACUUUGUAAGCUAUAUUACCGUUUAUCAUCAAAAUUAUAUUUGUUAACAUGUUCUUUUAUGCAUGUACUGUCAGAUCUGAAAUUGGAACUAAAGAAUUAGAAAAAUUCUUA